Molecule: ribosomal RNA, 253 nt
Filed under: uncultured bacterium
Lineage: Bacteria
Description: partial 16S ribosomal RNA
Rfam family: Bacterial small subunit ribosomal RNA
Source: RNAcentral
UACGUAGGGGGCAAGCGUUAUCCGGAAUUACUGGGUGUAAAGGGUGAGUAGGCGGUUCGAUUAGUCAUAUGUGAAAUUCCCGAGCUCAACUUGGGCGCUGCAUAAGAAACUGUCGAGCUAGAGUACAGGAGAGGUAAGUGGAAUUCCUAGUGUAGCGGUGAAAUGCGUAGAUAUUAGGAAGAACACCAGUGGCGAAGGCGACUUACUGGACUGAAACUGACGCUGAGUCACGAAAGCGUGGGGAGCGAACAGG